GAGGAAUGUAUAGCAAUAGCUACUUGCAUCAUAGUUAAUAUGAUGCAAGCUCGACUAAGUUGAAUAAAAUUCUAGGUAGAAUUAUGAUAAUGACAUUGUCUGCCUAUGUGUCUUGACCAAAUUACGUGCCAGCAGUCGCGGUAAUACGUAGAAGACUAGUGUUAUUCAUGUUUAAUCGGUUUAAAGGGUACCUAGACGGUGAAUCAAGCUUUGGUGUAAAUAAUAAAAACCAUAUUGUAUAAGAUCUUAUUUGAGAUACAUAUUUACAUAUGAUAAGGACUAAUUUACUAGAGUUACUUACGAGGGGGUAUUAAAGUACUGCUGGUGUAGAGAUGAAAUUCUGUCAUACCUCUUUUCGAAAGAAAAAUCAUGGCACAGGUAUAGGCGAAGGCAUCCCCUUAUGGGCUAACUGACGUUGAGGGACGAAGGCUUCAUGUAACAAACAGGAUUAGAUACCCUAGUAGUUGAAAGCAGAAAAUGAUGAAUGUCAUAGAUUAGAUAUAUAAGUUUAUUCUAUAAAUGAAAGUGUAAGCAUUCCNCCUCAUGAGUAAUUUGGCAACAUUGGAAUUGAAAUCAUUAGACCGUUUCUGAAACCAGUAGUGAAGUAUGUUGUUUAAUUUGAUACUCCGCAAAAAACCUUACCACAAUUUGAAUAUUUAUAUCUUUUAUUGUUUUCAUCUUAAUUUUAUUAUGAUUUUAUUUUUAUUUUCUAAAAAAAGAAAAAAUUAAGAAUAAGGCAAUAAGAUACAUUUACAAGCGUUGCACGGCUGUCUUCAGUUAAUGUCGUGAGACUUUGGUUAGUUCCAUUAAAUUAACGUAAACCCUUACUUUAUUUUUUAUAUAGAGUAGUUCCCCACUAUAUUGGAUAUGAU
RNAcentral lists this ribosomal RNA (872 nucleotides) under Flavoparmelia baltimorensis. RNAcentral's name for it is "SSU rRNA". It matches the Rfam family "Bacterial small subunit ribosomal RNA", at positions 356 to 1169 of the family's 1533-position model. The record is from RNAcentral. Lineage: Eukaryota; Fungi; Ascomycota; Lecanoromycetes; Lecanorales; Parmeliaceae.